This is an RNA transcript of Sciurus carolinensis (gray squirrel), 6660 nucleotides long. It is a transcript of the gene named ribonuclease H2 subunit B, with no coding region annotated. The record is from RefSeq and is a predicted model, not a curated record. The transcript has 11 exons. NCBI's taxonomy places the organism in Eukaryota, Metazoa, Chordata, Mammalia, Rodentia, Sciuridae.
CGCCCCCUCCGCCGCGUCACUUGUCCCUGGGGCGCGCGGCGAGCACCUACCACUGGUGGAGAAGCGCAGGGGAGAGCGAGUGGCUCUUCCCCGGCCCGCGGCCUUGCGCCGCUCUUGCGGGCGCCUGGGCCUGGCGCUAAAUUUAAAAACGUAACACAAGCGCCGGCUGGUCCCGGAAACGAAACCGAAUUCAACCCGCUGGCCAUCUCCCGGCUCGCCAGCCCCUCAGCGCGCCGCGCCACCCGGAAUAGACCCUCCACCCGCCAUUUCCGGCGGGGCGCGGGGACUGAGGCCUGUGGCAGCGGGGUGCGUUGCCGCGCGCGCGUCCUGGAGGAGGCGGGCGCCAUGGCCACGCGCGUGGACUGCGGGGACAGGGCUCGCGCUCAGCAGCACGUGUUCCUGGUUCCAGAAUAUUUAAAAGAUGCUUCAAAGAAGAUGAAAAGUGGCCUUAUGUUUGUAAAAUUGGCUAACCCUUGUUCAGGGGAAGGAGCCAUUUACUUGUUCAAUAUGUGUCUACAGCAGCUGUUUGAGAUCAGAGUUUUCAAGGAAAAGCAUCACUCUUGGUUUAUAAAUCAAUCAGUUCAAUCAGGAGGUCUCCUUCACUUUGCCACACCCAUGGAUCCCCUGUUUUUGCUCCUCCACUACCUCAUACAGGCCAACAAACAGGGAAAGUUUCAGCCCCUAGAUCAAGUGGUGGUGGAUGAUGUAUUUCCAAAUUGUGUCUUAUUGCUGAAACUUCCUGAGCUUGAGAAGGUUCUUCACCAUGUGACAGAGGAAAAAGAAAUAGGCAACAAGAAAUAUUACAAGUAUAGCAAAGAGAAGACAUUGAAGUGGCUGGAAAAAAAGGUUAAUCAAACUGUGGCAGCCUUAAAAACCAAUAAUGUCAACGUUAAUGCUCGGGUGCAGUCAUCUGCAUUUUUCUCUUGUGACCAGGUUUUGGACAGCAAAGAAGAGGAUUAUAUUCGUUAUGCCCAUGGUCUGGUAUCUGAUUACAUCCCUAAAGAAUUAAGUGGUGACUUAUCUAAAUAUUUAAAGCUUCCAGAACUUUCAGCUUCAUUGCCAAACCCUCCAUCAAAGAUGGCAGCACGAAGAGUGAAAAGGGGCAAGUGACCCAGUUCCACGCAAGGCUUGGCUGCUUCCUGUGCAACUUCAGACACCUCCAAGAGCCAGAACUUUGUCUUCCAUCUUUCUAGAAAACCACCAAGUGCCGAUAGGUGUAUUUUAAGGGGCCAAGGAUGAAACCUUUAUUUAUUUGAUCACUAAUAGGCAAUGGCAUUUCCCCUUGAGCUGGAGGUAUCCCCAUAGUGAAUCUGAGGAAUUUGAGCCACCUCGCCUCUGCCUAGGCCUAUCCCCCAUAAGAGUGUGGCUCUUUUCAGUACACUGCAUCAGAUAUCAAGAUGUCCAGAGGAAAAGGCUCUGUCACAGUAUUUUCUUAGGCUUGACCAUAUUGGCUUGUCCCACUAGGGUCAGAUCAGCGUGUUUUGAUAUGUCCGUGGUAACGGAAGCUCUGGAUUCUACACUGGGAGCACUAGCAAACCAAGUUUCAACCCUUGCUUUAAAUAUUUACCAAAAACCUGACCCUUCCUUACUCCUUAUCAACUUGGCAGCUUCUGGUUCAGAACAAUAUCUAAACAUGUGCAUUUUAUGAUGGCUUAGAGUUAUGGAGUCAUAAACAUUGCUUCAUUUUUAAAAGAUUUGUUUGGUAUGUGUAUUAUUAUGUUUUAAAGUGAGGGCAUAGGAUAUGAGAAGUAGAUGCCAAAAAGUAAUUUAGGAGAAAUUCUAGUGCCUAGUGAAUGAGUUUCAGGAGGAGGGGGUGGGGUGUGCAAACUUUUCCAGGGGUUCAAGCAGGCUCAUCCACUUGAUGUGCAGAAGGAGUGGGGUCACUGUGGUUCAGUUCAUCUUCCUGCAUUCUAAUGGAACCCCCAACCUCAUCUUUAGGAAAUAAUUCUUUUCUAAAUUUCUAACUCCAUCAAGUUAGCUGAACCUGGUUCUAGCAAGUAGUCUAUAAUUUUUUAAUGCCUCCUUUCAUAUGUCGAAAUUUUUGUUCACCUCAAGGAACUUAUAACAUUCCUUUGGUUCCACAGGUGAGAAGUGAAUCUUCCUCUCCAGAACCCCAGCUCUAGAAAGUCAAUGUAGAAUUCUAGAUAGACUACCGGCUUCUGGGAGGUGGUGCUCUAUGGAAAGAUCUGUUUGAAACCCAGGCCAUUUUGGAACUUCAUCUCAGGGACAGAAAGCCUGCUACCAUAGUGGCUGUCAGAUGCAGGUGGACCUCUGCCCUUAUCUCUCCUUCCUCUGGACAGACUUGCUGUUGGGAGACUUCUUGGUGGACUCCAUGGUCCCAGAGGCAUAAGGCUCCCCAGUUUGUGGAAGACUUCUUGUUACGCUUCUGUUUCUACUGCUGGCUUCACUUACCAACCAGGUGUUUGACCCUCUACUUCUCUGUCUUCCUCCUCUCUCCACAGUCUCUCAAUGUCUCCAUACACACACACCCCAAAGCCACUGGACACUGGCAAUGCCCAAGUGGUCACUAGAAGCCUUGCUCUCUUACUUGUGCCCCAAGUUCAUGUUCCAUUGGCCUCUGAACUUUUAAGAACUGCGAACACUUCACAUUCAACACCAUGAAAAUGACAAAAAUUCAUGUCAUUGUUUUUCAUUACAGAAGUAAUUCAUAAUUCAUUCCAACUGAAAGAGAAAGCAAAAGGGACCCCUACCUCUUAGUUACCCAAUUUCCACUGUCCAUUUUCUGUCCUUUUUCUAAGUAACAGUCCUAUAGUUACUGUUUCUGCAAUUCACUCCAUCAUUUUAUUUCAGAAUCAAAUUCUACUGAAUCGUUCCUUCAGAAAUGUCUCGUGGGAAAAUUAAAAUUAUAACAGAUCAACAGAUAUAAAACCCUAGCACUCUCAAGUCCUUUCCUCUCCACGCCCACUGCUUCCAAAAGGAAGGCUGUUCCAGCUGGAUGGCCAACUCACUUGAGUGCAGACACCAUAUGGCUUGGGUCUCAAAUAGAGUCGUGCCCACGGUGAUGAGCACACUGCAUGUGCCUCACUCUCAGUGCAUGAGUCACUGAUGGGCAGAUAAAGUCAGAUCCUCUUUCCCACCAACUUGCCAAGGACUUUUAAAAAGUAGUCGUGUUCAGAGCUAGAGAGGAAGUGGGAAAUGGGCACUGCUGGUGAGGAUAUAAAAAGGUACAACUUCUGGAUGCCAACUUGGAAAUAAAUAUCAGAAGUCCAGAGAUUCUGCUCCCCUGUGCCUCAGCAAUACCCACUGUUAGAAGUACAGUAUUAGGAAAAAUCAUAAAUGUGUGCAAAGAUUAGCUGCAAGAACAUUCAUUGUGGAACUGUUAAAAUAGCAAAUAAUUGGCAGGAAAAACCCUAAAAUUGGAGGACUUAGAAAAAUUGUAUUUAAAAUUCAUUACUGAAAAUACAAGCAACCUCCUCUCCCUUUGUCUCCCUUCUUCCCUUGCCCAUCCUUUCUCAAUUUUUCUUCCUUCUCUCUUUCUUUUCCUCCCUCUUUUAGGAAUUUUCUAUGAUAAACAUAUUACUAUUACAUUAAUAAAAAACAAUGUUAGAAUUCCACAUUGGUUAAUUAGUUCCUUAAAAUUAUUUCUCUCUUAAGAUUAUAAAAAAGGUUGUGCCUCAUUUAGCCAGUUUUUGGAGAAUCAUGGUACAUACAUUUCAUUAUUCUAUUCUUUAUAUUCAAGUGGGUGCUCAGUAAAUAAUAAAAUGAUGCUUAGCUACUAGUAAUCAAAUAGUGGUUCUUCUUCUAUCCCCAGAACUUCAAAGGUUUCAGAUACUUACUAUGUGAUUCCCUGACCCUUCCCCCUUAUCUAGUCAGAAAUAUAUGAUUUGUUUUUAAUGUCGUGUUUGGGACAUGAACAUGGAUGCUGAAAUCAAUUAAUUUUGCUUUGAAGUUCUCCUUAGAGCCCUAGAAAUAAUUGCAGAUGCUCUAGGGUAUAUCACCACCAGGCCUGAGAGUUACUAUUCUGGUCUGCAAAAUUGAGGAGAAGAAAAACAUACAACCAACUGAGGAGGGUACAAAACAGAAUGUUUUGCAUUUGCUCGUGUUCAGUGUUCAUAGUUUUUUCCUUAGCAGACAGUAACUAUUAGUCAACUUUCUGUUGCUGUGACAAAAUACCUGAGACAAGUACCUUAGAAGAAGGAAAUGUUUAUUUUGGUUUGUGGUUUCAGAGGUUUCAGUCCAUGGUCACUUGAGUCUUAUUGCUUUGGGACUGUGAUGGCACAGUACAUCAUGGUGGAGGUGUGAGGCAGAGGAAGCCUGCUCAUCAAAGAGAAAGAUGGGAAGGAACUUGAAGGGCACAGCCACCAAUGAGCUAACUUCCUUCCACGAGGCCCCACCUCCUAAAGGUUCAAUCACCUCCCAAUAGCACCACAGGCUUGUGGCCAAGCCACUAAUACAUGGGUCUUGGGGGGCAUUCCAGACCCAAACCAUAACAUUAGCCAAAAUGCUCGACUUCACAGCAAGAACUUUAGAGAUUGGAUUCCUGAGUGCUAGCACUUGGUUUCUCAAAAGAGGUUUAUAGGGAUGAGUCAAGAUGGAGUAUUAAUGGUUUCAAAGUUGUCUAGGCCACUUCUAGAAAUACAUAAAAUUACAGGAUCCUAACUUAGUGUCACAUUUCACCCUCAGCUUUUUCAUGAUCUGACAGUUCAAUGAAGGAGAUUAUAAAACUUUAAUACUGUUGAGGCAUUUUUGGGAGAGUGAGACGCAUUUUUCUUUGUGUCAUUAUUGCCAAGAAGCUAGGUAGCAGUAAGUGUCCUGUGAAAAGGAAAAGGGGCUGUGGCAGAGUUGGUGAGCUGUGCUAAAUUCAAUAAAUUUCUUUCCUGAUUGACUUUGGAGCACAAAUCUGAACAGACACUGUAAAAGCCCUUAGACAUGCCCGCUCUUUUCAGUCUCCCAAAAAUGUUUUACCACUGAAUCCUUUUCCCAUAAAGUGACUUGAUAAACUGAUGUUCUGUACCAUUUGGGAACCUACCUGCCACCUUCCUUGUGAUAUCACAAUAUCUAGGAUAGCUUUUUAUUAACAGCACAACCCAGGACAAACCAGUCUGUCAUUGCAUCCUUGACCUCUCCUUCCUGGGCCUAUGGGAGACUCGUUCUGUUUGUAGGUCUAACGGUUAGAUUAGUGUUUAUCUCCCAGGUCACAGAGCUUUGUCGGGCAGGGUCCGUUUUAGUGUUCUUUCAUGCAGAAGGGAUCAUCAUGGCAGACCUGCGAUGGUGUCCUUAGAAAGGUCUGCUUGCAAAGUUGAUCUUCAGCUGGCAUCUGGUAAACAGGUCCUCACAAUGAAUGAAAUACUGAUAAGAUCAGAGUGACUCUCUGUACCAUCCUGCUGGGAUAAGCAGCAUGGUUUAUGCUGAACACCUGCUUUCCUCCUGGUGCUCUAAAAUUUUGAUUCAAGGUGAACAGAGAGUGCCUACACCAGUAACCCCCAAAAUGGCCUUAGGCAUGGAGUCUCUAAUGGGCUUCCCUGGGCAGAGGCAUCACAGGCAUGACCCUGAAUUGUCACUCACCUACAGGCACUCUGCCUGGCCCCUGUUGGGAGGGAGAGAGCAUAAGGAAGCCUGUGCGUGGACUUCCCCAGUCCUUUUCCCUUCUGGUAGGGCUAUGCACCCUCCCUGCACCACUGUAAAUAAUCUUACCUGUGAACAUAACUUUAUAUUGCAACUCCUCAUAGCAAAUAUUCAACCAGGGGAGUGUCUCGAGGACCCUUCACAUACCAUGUGUCCCCACAACCACGCCCAGCAUUCGACAUUUAAUAAGUGGCUUACCACAUACUUUCUGAAAUGGAAAUGGAAAUGACUCAGAGAUCCAGUACUAAAUAAGUCCUCUGAAAAUUCACAAACAAACCAAGAAACACUAUAAUGUAUCCACGACAUCCUGAGGACCCAAAUAGAGAAUGUGCACCCUUCUAGAAAGAGUGGAAUAAAAAAUGACUUCUGAAAAUUCAGCUCAGGCAAAGCCUUUCUCAUGAAGAUGGAUGUUCUGUAUUUGAAGUGGUAGUGGGUAGAGCAGAGCUGGGGGCUUCGCUGGCCUGGAGGCUGUCUCCCCAGCUUGCUGUCAUCUCCCUCCACACCAUGUGUUGGCACUGUUGGUUCAUUUGGCCAAGAGUAUGGGUGAUGAGGUCAGAGAGAGCAGGGGCUUGUCGACAUGGCUGCACAUUGAGAAGGGUCUGGAAAGCUGGAGGGAAUCCUAAUGCCCCUCCAUGUGCCGCCAUCUUUGGUCUGAAGUGCGGGGCAGGCACUGGGAUGAUCAUUUGCAUUCCCUCCAGAUACUCCCACCCUGUCCCUUCCUCCCUGAUCCCACCUUUGACAAUCAGACUUCAUGAGGUGAGGUCCACACUUCCCCCAAAGCCAGUUUAUUCUUAUGGUCUAAACACUUCAUAAAAUUUCAGUUUUCUAAUUUCCUAGUGUUACGGUUUGGAUAUGAGGUGUCACCCCAGAGAGCUCAUGUGUUAAUGCAGGCAUGUUCAGAGCUGAGAUGGGUAGAUGGUGAGAGUUGUAACCUAAUCUGUGAAUUAGUCCAGUGGAUGCAUUAAUAAAUCAAGAGUACUACUGUGCUGAGUGGUAACUGUAGGCAGGUGGGCAUGGGAGUGUGCCCUUGGAGAUUAUGUAUGCUCCUCAUGCGCGCUCUCUCUCUCUCUCUCU